GAUGAACGCUGGCGGCGUGCCGAACACAUGCAAGUCGAACGAGCGAGAGAGAGCUUGCUUUCUCGAGCGAGUGGCGAACGGGUGAGUAACGCGUGAGGAACCUGCCUCAAAGAGGGGGACAACAGUUGGAAACGACUGCUAAUACCGAAUAAGCCCACGGGUCGGCAUCGACCAGAGGGAAAAGGAGCAAUCCGCUUUGAGAUGGCCUCGCGUCCGAUUAGCUAGUUGGGGAGGUAAAGGCCCACCAAGGCCACGGUCGGUAGCCGGACUGCGAGGUUGAACGGCCACACUGGGACUGAGACACGGACCAGACGCCUCCGGGAGGCAGCAGUGGGGAAUAUUGGACAAUGGGCGAAAGCCUGAUCCAGCCAUGCCGCGUGUGUGAAGAAGGCCUUCGGGUUGUAAAGCACUUUAAGCGGGGAGGAAGUACUUGGGGCUAAUACCCCUGAGUGUUGACGUUACCCGCAGAAUAAGCACCGGCUA
Molecule: ribosomal RNA, 483 nt
Filed under: uncultured bacterium
Lineage: Bacteria
Description: partial 16S ribosomal RNA
Rfam family: Bacterial small subunit ribosomal RNA
Source: RNAcentral